This is a non-coding RNA of Phrynosoma platyrhinos (Desert horned lizard), 71 nucleotides long. Lineage: Eukaryota; Metazoa; Chordata; Lepidosauria; Squamata; Phrynosomatidae. The record is from the annotation of a GenBank genome assembly.
ACCAGUGUGGUGUAGUGGUUUGAGCACUGGAUUAUAACUCUGGAGACCAGGGUUUGAAUCCCUGAUUGGCC